UGGGGGAUAUUGCACAAUGGGCGAAAGCCUGAUGCAGCGACGCCGCGUGGGGGAUGAAGGCCUUCGGGUUGUAAACUUCUUUUGCUCUGAACAAGGCAUGCCUUUGGGGUGUGUUGAGUGUAGGGGUUGAUUAGCGCCGGCUAACUACGUGCCAGCAGCCGCGGUAAUACGUAGGGCGCGAGCGUUGUCCGGAAUUAUUGGGCGUAAAGGGCUUGUAGGUGGCUGGUUGCGUCUGUCGUGAAAGCUCAUGGCUUAACUGUGGGUUUGCGGUGGGUACGGGCUGGCUUGAGUGCAGUAGGGGGGGCUGGAAUUCCUGGUGUAGCGGUGGAAUGCGCAGAUAUCAGGAGGAAUACCGGUGGCGAAGGCGGGUCUCUGGGCUGUUACUGACGCUGAGGAGCGAAAGCGUGGGGAGCGAACAGG
This 420-nucleotide ribosomal RNA is filed under the name Fusobacteriota bacterium. Its description in RNAcentral is "Fusobacteria bacterium partial 16S ribosomal RNA". It matches the Rfam family "Bacterial small subunit ribosomal RNA", at positions 355 to 776 of the family's 1533-position model. The record is from RNAcentral. Lineage: Bacteria; Fusobacteriati; Fusobacteriota.